GCUCAGAGCGAACGCUGGCGGCAGGCCUAACACAUGCAAGUCGAACGAACUCUUCGGAGUUAGUGGCGGACGGGUGAGUAACACGUGGGAACGUGCCUUUAGGUUCGGAAUAACUCAGGGAAACUUGUGCUAAUACCGAAUGUGCCCUUCGGGGGAAAGAUUUAUCGCCUUUAGAGCGGCCCGCGUCUGAUUAGCUAGUUGGUGAGGUAAUGGCUCACCAAGGCGACGAUCAGUAGCUGGUCUGAGAGGAUGAUCAGCCACAUUGGGACUGAGACACGGCCCAAACUCCUACGGGAGGCAGCAGUGGGGAAUCUUGCGCAAUGGGCGAAAGCCUGACGCAGCCAUGCCGCGUGAAUGAUGAAGGUCUUAGGAUUGUAAAAUUCUUUCACCGGGGACGAUAAUGACGGUACCCGGAGAAGAAGCCCCGGCUAACUUCGUGCCAGCAGCCGCGGUAAUACGAAGGGGGCUAGCGUUGCUCGGAAUUACUGGGCGUAAAGGGAGCGUAGGCGGACAUUUAAGUCAGGGGUGAAAUCCCGGGGCUCAACCUCGGAAUUGCCUUUGAUACUGGGUGUCUUGAGUAUGAGAGAGGUGUGUGGAACUCCGAGUGUAGAGGUGAAAUUCGUAGAUAUUCGGAAGAACACCAGUGGCGAAGGCGACACACUGGCUCAUUACUGACGCUGAGGCUCGAAAGCGUGGGGAGCAAACAGGAUUAGAUACCCUGGUAGUCCACGCCGUAAACGAUGAUUGCUAGUUGUCGGGAUGCAUGCAUUUCGGUGACGCAGCUAACGCAUAAGCAAUCCGCCUGCAGACGCACUGA
RNAcentral lists this ribosomal RNA (817 nucleotides) under Brevundimonas sp. M_Sw_oHS_08/11_3_2(1). RNAcentral describes it as "bacterial SSU rRNA". It matches the Rfam family "Bacterial small subunit ribosomal RNA", at positions 22 to 873 of the family's 1533-position model. The record is from RNAcentral. Lineage: Bacteria; Pseudomonadati; Pseudomonadota; Alphaproteobacteria; Caulobacterales; Caulobacteraceae.